GAGGGUGUAGCUCAAGUGGUAGACUGCGUGCUUAGCAUGCACAAGGUCCUGGGUUCAAUCCCCAGUACCUCCU
Molecule: transfer RNA, 73 nt
Organism: Camelus ferus (Wild Bactrian camel)
Lineage: Eukaryota; Metazoa; Chordata; Mammalia; Artiodactyla; Camelidae
Rfam family: tRNA
About the family: Transfer RNA (tRNA) molecules are approximately 80 nucleotides in length. Their secondary structure includes four short double-helical elements and three loops (D, anti-codon, and T loops). Further hydrogen bonds mediate the characteristic L-shaped molecular structure. tRNAs have two regions of fundamental functional importance: the anti-codon, which is responsible for specific mRNA codon recognition, and the 3' end, to which the tRNAs corresponding amino acid is attached (by aminoacyl-tRNA synthetases). tRNAs cope with the degeneracy of the genetic code in two manners: having more than one tRNA (with a specific anti-codon) for a particular amino acid; and 'wobble' base-pairing, i.e. permitting non-standard base-pairing at the 3rd anti-codon position.
Source: Rfam